Long non-coding RNA from Suncus etruscus (white-toothed pygmy shrew), 1181 nucleotides. RefSeq lists it as uncharacterized. The transcript has 2 exons. The record is from RefSeq and is a predicted model, not a curated record. Lineage: Eukaryota; Metazoa; Chordata; Mammalia; Eulipotyphla; Soricidae.
CAGGCAGCAUCUUGGAAAUAUCAGAGCAUCUUUGGGCCUAACUAUACAGGGAUGAUGGUUUUCUUAUGACUCGUUUGGUAUAUUUUCCCCUGAGUGUAUAUUUGACUCAGAUGUCAGUCUUUGUAUAUAUCUACAGACUAAGUUAAUGUGUAGGUGUGAGUUUAAUGGAACAAAGUUGUGGCAAUCCUGUAGGAAGUCGCAGCUGCGUGUGUUUUAAGAAGCCACUAGAUAUUCUUCAUGUAAGUGCUGCCGACCUGUCUAGCAUUCACUGUGGGCACCAAAGUAAAAGAUCUGAGUGUAUCCAUCAUUUCAAUGAGCUACAUGACAAAUGUGGAGUUAGAUAAGGGCUUGAAUUUAUGGACUUGCUAUUGUUUUAUUAAUUGAGAUGCUUUGCCAGGUCAUGUACUUAUUGCCUCAUUUGUGGUUUUUGAAUCUUUAAUUUGAAGAACUAUUUGGAUUGCUCGAGAAAUUUCCACCACAUACUAAGUGGCAUUGGAUGGGGGGGGAGAGGAAACACCAUGUAGCAGUUAAUUUUCUGCUUUCAGCCAAAUACUGUAUCAUGUUCUCUCUCCAUGAAAGAAGGUCAUAAACAAGUUAGCCAAUAAAAUAGCUUCCUCCUGAGAAGUAUAGAACUCAGUUGUGUUCACUUCUGUGCCUGGGCAGUGUCAAACAAGAGUGGUGGCACUGAGGAAAGAGUCAGUGUAGAGGGGCUGAUGUGUUGAGGAGCAUUUACGGUUUGAAAGUGUUGAGAUUGUAACUCCAACUUCUCUACAUGACUUGUGAGAGAUCUGCCCCUAAUUCUUGCACUCUAAUAUUCCUACUUGGAGCAAGGCCUGGGGUGUCUGACUUGGCCCUCUGUUACAUACCAGGCCUUAGAGAAGAAAAACCUUCAGAUAGAUAGUGGGUAGAGUCAAGAUUAAAGUUGACACAUUUCUGUCCCGGAACCCUACUGCCUCCCUGCAGAAACUCUGUCUAUAAAAUGUCUCCAGGUGGCCCUGUCCCAGGAUUAGGGGUCAGGCAUUUUAUAUCAAGGGUGCUCUGAAUAUAUUUUAUUUUUUAAAAAAACUAUGUUUGUGAAUUUUAUGUAUACUGGCAAGCUUUUGAAAAUGUAUUUAAUUUUGUAAUGUUUACCAACAGUUUCUUUACAAGCAUUUUACUCAAAUAAAUGGAGCUGCUUAUAA